This 72-nucleotide transfer RNA is filed under the name Siphoviridae sp. ctEkS11. RNAcentral's name for it is "tRNA-Gln". It matches the Rfam family "tRNA". From Rfam's summary of the family: Transfer RNA (tRNA) molecules are approximately 80 nucleotides in length. Their secondary structure includes four short double-helical elements and three loops (D, anti-codon, and T loops). Further hydrogen bonds mediate the characteristic L-shaped molecular structure. tRNAs have two regions of fundamental functional importance: the anti-codon, which is responsible for specific mRNA codon recognition, and the 3' end, to which the tRNAs corresponding amino acid is attached (by aminoacyl-tRNA synthetases). tRNAs cope with the degeneracy of the genetic code in two manners: having more than one tRNA (with a specific anti-codon) for a particular amino acid; and 'wobble' base-pairing, i.e. permitting non-standard base-pairing at the 3rd anti-codon position. Lineage: Duplodnaviria; Heunggongvirae; Uroviricota; Caudoviricetes. The record is from RNAcentral.
UGGGGUAUCGUCAAGCGGUAAGACAUAGCACUUUGACUGCUAAAUUCGUAGGUUCAAAUCCUACUACCCCAG